UCACAACCAUCUGUAAUGAAAUGUAAUGCCCUUUCCUGUGUGUCUGAAGAGAGCAACCAUGUACUCACAUAAAAUAAAUGUAUCAAUCUUGAAAGAAAGAAAGAAAGAAAGAAAGAAAGAAAGAAAGAAAGAAAGAAAGGAAGGAAGAAAGAAAGAAAGAAAGAAAGAGAAAGAAAAAUAAAAACCAUCCCUAACUCCAGUUCCAGGGGAUCCAAUGUCCUCUUCCUACCUCUGUGGGUACCAGCCUUCUGUGGGAACCAGGCAUGCAGGUAAAAUGCUCAUAUACAUAAAAAUCAAUCUAAAAAAUUAAAAAUUUUAAAACUAGGACUG
Molecule: long non-coding RNA, 330 nt
Filed under: Mus musculus (house mouse)
Lineage: Eukaryota; Metazoa; Chordata; Mammalia; Rodentia; Muridae
Description: long non-coding RNA chr2:181218503-181218833
Source: RNAcentral